Molecule: long non-coding RNA, 1281 nt
Filed under: Corvus moneduloides (New Caledonian crow)
Lineage: Eukaryota; Metazoa; Chordata; Aves; Passeriformes; Corvidae
Description: lncRNA (ENSCMUG00000017665.1)
Source: RNAcentral
GCAGUGCUGGGGAGGUCAGUGGGGUCAGUGCAGCGGUGGUCAGUGCAGGGGGCUCAGUGGGUCAUUGCACGGGGAUUGGGGGGUCAGAGCAGUAGGGAGCAGUGCAGGGGGUCCGUGGGUCAGUGCAGGGGGGCCAAGGAGGGGUCAGUGCAGGGGGGCCGUGGGUCAGUGCAGGGGGGCCAAGGGGGGUCAGUGCAGGGGGUCCGUGGGUCAGUGCAGGGGGGCCAAGGGGGGUCAGUGCAGGGGGUCCGUGGGUCAGUGCAGGGGGGCCGUGGGUCAGAGCAGGAGGGCCAAGGGGGGUCAGUGCAGGGGGUCCGCGGGUCCGUGCGGGGGCCGGGGGUCCCGCGGGCCGUGCAGCGCCCCCCGGUGUCAGCGCAGCCCCUGCAGCGCCGGGCCCGGGAGCGGGGCGGGGGCGCGGCUGCCGAUUCGGCGGGUGCGGGGCCGGGGGCGGUGAGGGCGGGGGUCCCGCCGAGGGGGUCGCGCCGGGCCAGUUUCUGUCCCCGCUCUGUCCCGGCAGUUGCCGGCCCCGCUCCCGCCCAAAACUCCGCUCCUCCGGGACCCCGUUAUCCCCGCUGUCCCGUUAUCCCUGGACCCCCCGUUAUCCCUGACGGUUCCGUUAUCCCCGGCGGUCCCGUUAUUCCCGGAUCUCCGUUAUCCCAGCCCCGUUCUCCCCGGCGGCUCCGUUACCCGAGGCGGUCCCGUUAUCCCCCGUUGUCCCGUUCCGGGCGGGUCCCGCUGCCGCCGGCCCCGCCCCGGCCCCGACGGGCGGCUCCUCCCGCCCCCCGACCCGGACCCCGGGCGGGCGGGGACCCCCGGCCCUUGCUCUGCCCCCGGCCCGUACUCACCCCGGGGCAUGGCGCGGCGGCGGGCGCGGGGCCGGGGCGGCAGCGGCAGCGGCAGGACGAAGAGCAGGACGAAGAGGAGGAGGAGGAGGAGGAGGAGGAGGAAGUCUGCGGCCGCCUCCUCCGCCGCCCCGGGCGGUCCCGCGGAGAAACUUCCCUCGCCGCGCCCGGCCCCCCGCGCCCGCCGCUUCCUUCCUCGGCCCGGGCCGGUCCCGGGACCGCGGCAGCGCAGCCCCUGCGCCCUCCGCCAUCGCCCCGGGCUGCGGGCACCGGGACGGGGCUGCGGGCUGAGGCUGCGGCGGGUUUGGGGCAGGACCCCGGGGCAGGACCCCCGCGUCCCCCUGCGCCCCCCGGGACGGCCCCGAGCAGGGACCCGCAGCUCCCGUGGCCGGGUUGGGAGCAGGGACCCUCCUCCUUCGCCCCCACUCCCCACCCUUGA